UGGGGAAUAUUGGACAAUGGGCGCAAGCCUGAUCCAGCCAUGCCGCGUGAGUGAUGAAGGCCCUAGGGUUGUAAAGCUCUUUCACCGGUGAAGAUAAUGACGGUAACCGGAGAAGAAGCCCCGGCUAACUUCGUGCCAGCAGCCGCGGUAAUACGAAGGGGGCUAGCGUUGUUCGGAUUUACUGGGCGUAAAGCGCACGCAGGCGGACUUUUAAGUCAGGGGUGAAAUCCCGGGGCUCAACCCCGGAACUGCCUUUGAUACUGGAAGUCUUGAGUAUGGUAGAGGUGAGUGGAAUUCCGAGUGUAGAGGUGAAAUUCGUAGAUAUUCGGAGGAACACCAGUGGCGAAGGCGGCUCACUGGACCAUUACUGACGCUGAGGUGCGAAAGCGUGGGGAGCAAACAGG
RNAcentral lists this ribosomal RNA (404 nucleotides) under Brucella melitensis. RNAcentral describes it as "partial 16S ribosomal RNA". It matches the Rfam family "Bacterial small subunit ribosomal RNA", at positions 355 to 776 of the family's 1533-position model. The record is from RNAcentral. RNAcentral also lists the same sequence under 2 other names. Lineage: Bacteria; Pseudomonadati; Pseudomonadota; Alphaproteobacteria; Hyphomicrobiales; Brucellaceae.